Non-coding RNA from Cicer arietinum (chickpea), 333 nucleotides. The record is from RefSeq and is a predicted model, not a curated record. NCBI's taxonomy places the organism in Eukaryota, Viridiplantae, Streptophyta, Magnoliopsida, Fabales, Fabaceae.
AUAAGAUAAAAGGAAAAAUUCUACACAAUGACUUUUCAUAUCUAUCGGUCGCGUUUGUGCUGGAUUUUGUGUUUUGCUUUUGUUUUACUUCUAGGUGAAGGAUUAGCAAUUGGUGAUCCUGGGAAAGUAUUCUGUCUCGGGAGAUGCAGAAAGUCUAGCAUCUGCAGUAAAGAUUGCAUUCUCAAAGGAUUUGAUAAAGGUGGCGCAUGUGUUGGAACCGAAAUACAUUAUUUAUAUUGUUGUUGUAAUUUAUAAUGAGAUAUUGUAGCACUCUUUAAUAAUAAAUAAAAAAGGUAAUCCAACCUUUUCACCAAAAAUAAUAAUUAAAAAAAA